GGUUCUAUAGUGUAGCGGUUAGCAUGUCUGCUUUACACGCAGAAGGUCGUUGGUUUAUGCCCCAAUGGAGCCA
This 73-nucleotide transfer RNA is filed under the name Pteropus alecto (black flying fox). It matches the Rfam family "tRNA". Rfam says of the family: Transfer RNA (tRNA) molecules are approximately 80 nucleotides in length. Their secondary structure includes four short double-helical elements and three loops (D, anti-codon, and T loops). Lineage: Eukaryota; Metazoa; Chordata; Mammalia; Chiroptera; Pteropodidae. The record is from Rfam by way of RNAcentral.